This is a long non-coding RNA of Scomber japonicus (chub mackerel), 617 nucleotides long. RefSeq lists it as uncharacterized. The transcript has 4 exons. NCBI's taxonomy places the organism in Eukaryota, Metazoa, Chordata, Actinopteri, Scombriformes, Scombridae. The record is from RefSeq and is a predicted model, not a curated record.
AAUGUGUGUUUCCUGUUUUCAGACCAGGUGCAGUCGUACCUGCAGGAGUGUGAGCGAUGUGCAGCCGUCGUGAUUCAGAGUUUCUGGAGAGGCUUCAGAGAGCGGCGACCACUACAACACACACAAACACACACUGAGACGCACACGCACACAGCAGCAAGCGGGCCAGGACGCUGCAGAGAGCGGUUCGUCGCUUUCUGGAGAGACGUCGAGCAUCCAAAGCCCCGCCCACCCCGACUGUCUGGAUUGGUCAGAGCGGUUUGACGGACAGCCGGAGGGCGGAGCUUAAGAGACAGGUGGAGGAUUACAUCGCUGUUCAUCCUUCGUCCCGUAGGAGUCGGGAGGAGUGCGAGCGUCUCCACGAGGAGGUGCAGCUGCUCCUGCUGGAGGAGCUGCAGAGAGGAGAGCAGCACAGGAGGGAGGAGCAGAGGAGGGAGGCGCUGCUGGCUCACACACACACACAACUGGAGCUGCUCAGAGACGCCCCGCCCCUCUCCGUUGUCACUGCAACGGUCGCCGACUCCUUCCUGAGCCCGUCCGGUCCCGUCUCCGCCCGCGCCCGUGACUCCCACAAUGCAAUGCUGCAGGCGAGCCGGCUGCCCUGGUGGAGGACGCUG